RNAcentral lists this ribosomal RNA (254 nucleotides) under uncultured bacterium. RNAcentral describes it as "partial 16S ribosomal RNA". It matches the Rfam family "Bacterial small subunit ribosomal RNA", at positions 524 to 776 of the family's 1533-position model. The record is from RNAcentral.
GACAGAGGGUGCAAACGUUGUUCGGAAUUACUGGGCGUAAAGCGUGUGUAGGCGGCUAUGUAAGUCGGAUGUGAAAGCCCCGGGCUCAACUCGGGAAGUGCACUCGAUACUGCGUAGCUUGAGUACCGGAGAGGUUGGUGGAAUUCUCGGUGUAGAGGUGAAAUUCGUAGAUAUCGAGAGGAACACCGGUGGCGAAGGCGGCCAACUGGACGAGUACUGACGCUGGAGACACGAAAGCGUGGGGAGCAAACAGG